Small nuclear RNA from Etheostoma spectabile (orangethroat darter), 164 nucleotides. RefSeq annotates it as U1 spliceosomal RNA. Lineage: Eukaryota; Metazoa; Chordata; Actinopteri; Perciformes; Percidae. The record is from RefSeq and is a predicted model, not a curated record. The transcript has a single exon.
AUACUUACUGGCAGCGGGAGGAAUAGCAUACACUUAUGAAUCAAGCAAGAGUGGUUCACCAGCGGCAGGACUUAAACCAUUGCACUCCGGUUAUGCUGACCCCUGCGAAUUCCCCAAAUGUGGGAAUCUCGAACUGGCAAUUAAUGGGUGGCUGGUAGACUGGG